UGCGCAGCAGCCCGGAACGACCAACCCUCCCCACCAGACGGUCCCUGCAUCAUAGAUGGCCCGGACCAGCUCACCCUUCCUUCCCACCGAGGGGAGAUUUUCCUUUUGAAGUGAACUUAAUAUCAUACUCAGCUGGCUUUCCUAAAUGUGAUGUUUGUUUAUGGAUCCUUUAUUAUUACCCAUUUACGCAAGGAACUGCUGUGUGAAUAGCAAGGUACACUGGAGCUUAGAACGAGACAAAUUAAUGAACUGAUUACAGUGUUGUAAAAGAAGAGAGGAAUCAAUGAAACCUGCUGUGUUUUCAUCUGCUUGAAUUAUUCACACCGCUAAGUGGCAACAAGAGGAUAAUUUCCUACCUCAAAAUAGAACAAGAUCACUUUUUGUUCAUUUAUUAUUGAAAAUAUUGAAAAAACAAACAUGAAAGUUCAAUUAGACAGAAUUAAUGUGUUAUGAUACAAUGACACCUGUU
Long non-coding RNA from Hyla sarda, 469 nucleotides. RefSeq lists it as uncharacterized. The transcript has 3 exons. The record is from RefSeq and is a predicted model, not a curated record. NCBI's taxonomy places the organism in Eukaryota, Metazoa, Chordata, Amphibia, Anura, Hylidae.